CCACGCUUGAGGUGAGCAACAAGGCCCCUCCAAGCAGCGGUCAAACGUCAGAAAAAAGAAGCUCGAAAGAGCUUGACUAAAACCGCCAAGGCUCUAUAAUGCGCAGCCUUGCUCGAAACGAGCGAACGUUCUUUAACAAUUUACCAAGCCAAGCAAACUGUGUGGGCACUUCCGAGAAUUCAGUGCAGAGAAAUAGGUGUCUUAGACACCACCUGACUGAUUGAAGAGGUGCUUAACAAACAAAGCUUUAUUAAGUCAUUGAUUCAAUGGGUCGAUUAAACACUUUAAAUUGAAGAGUUUGAUCAUGGCUCAGAUUGAACGCUGGCGGCAGGCCUAACACAUGCAAGUCGAGCGGUAACAGGGAGUAGCUUGCUACUUUGCUGACGAGCGGCGGACGGGUGAGUAAUGCUUGGGAACUUGCCUUUGGGAGGGGGAUAACCGCUGGAAACGGUGGCUAAUACCGCAUGAUGUCUACGGACCAAAGCGGGGGCUCUUCGGACCUCGCGCCCAAAGAUAGGCCCAAGUGAGAUUAGCUAGUUGGUGGGGUAAUGGCUCACCAAGGCGACGAUCUCUAGCUGUUCUGAGAGGAUGAUCAGCCACACUGGGACUGAGACACGGCCCAGACUCCUACGGGAGGCAGCAGUGGGGAAUAUUGGACAAUGGGGGGAACCCUGAUCCAGCCAUGCCGCGUGUGUGAAGAAGGCCCUAGGGUUGUAAAGCACUUUCAGUGGUGAGGAAGGCUUGUUAGCGAAUACCUAACAAGAUUGACGUUAGCCACAGAAGAAGCACCGGCUAACUCCGUGCCAGCAGCCGCGGUAAUACGGAGGGUGCGAGCGUUAAUCGGAAUUACUGGGCGUAAAGCGUACGUAGGCGGCUUAUUAAGCAAGAUGUGAAAGCCCCGGGCUCAACCUGGGAAUGGCAUUUUGAACUGGUAGGCUCGAGUUCUGAAGAGGGUGGUAGAAUUUCCUGUGUAGCGGUGAAAUGCGUAGAUAUAGGAAGGAAUACCGGUGGCGAAGGCGGCCACCUGGUCAGAGACUGACGCUGAGGUACGAAAGCGUGGGGAGCAAACAGGAUUAGAUACCCUGGUAGUCCACGCCGUAAACGAUGUCAACUAG
This 1115-nucleotide ribosomal RNA is filed under the name Gemmobacter caeni. RNAcentral's name for it is "bacterial SSU rRNA". The stretch from base 287 to 1115 matches the Rfam family "Bacterial small subunit ribosomal RNA", at positions 1 to 819 of the family's 1533-position model. Lineage: Bacteria; Pseudomonadati; Pseudomonadota; Alphaproteobacteria; Rhodobacterales; Paracoccaceae. The record is from RNAcentral.